GCUCCUAUCGUCUAGUGGUUAGGACAUCGGAUGCUAAUCCGAAAACAUUGGUUCGAUUCCAGUUAAGAGCU
This 71-nucleotide transfer RNA is filed under the name Hypoxylon rubiginosum. RNAcentral's name for it is "tRNA-OTHER". It matches the Rfam family "tRNA". Rfam says of the family: Transfer RNA (tRNA) molecules are approximately 80 nucleotides in length. Their secondary structure includes four short double-helical elements and three loops (D, anti-codon, and T loops). Further hydrogen bonds mediate the characteristic L-shaped molecular structure. tRNAs have two regions of fundamental functional importance: the anti-codon, which is responsible for specific mRNA codon recognition, and the 3' end, to which the tRNAs corresponding amino acid is attached (by aminoacyl-tRNA synthetases). tRNAs cope with the degeneracy of the genetic code in two manners: having more than one tRNA (with a specific anti-codon) for a particular amino acid; and 'wobble' base-pairing, i.e. permitting non-standard base-pairing at the 3rd anti-codon position. The record is from RNAcentral. Lineage: Eukaryota; Fungi; Ascomycota; Sordariomycetes; Xylariales; Hypoxylaceae.